AAAGAAGCCUUUAACUGAAUGCCUUUGAGCAUAAACCUGGGUGUUACUCUGGACUAACAUGGAGCUAUGCAGCCACUUCAGAUUUUCUCUUCAUCUGUUCAAUUUCUGCACAUUAGGGUAUAUUUCUCUGCAUUAUGUGAUGGUUCUAGUUCAGUAGAAUAACCAGCCACUGCCAAGGAAAUUCUUACAAUCUUGUUCUCUCUCCAUGGACUGAGUUCCUGGGAUUCAGUCCUGAAGGGUAAAGACAUCCAGGAAGGUUGGCUUCUCCACAAGAAGGAAGUCUUAAAGGUGCAACAGCAGGCUAACCCCCUGAGCCCCAAAAUGAGCUGUCGGGGGAGAAGUUGAGCAUGGAUGAACAGGGAGUUUUUCCUGAGGCUUCAGGAGAAGAAGAGAAUCUACCUCCUGUGGAAGAAGGGAUGGACAACUCAGAGAGAGUACAAAGAGAUUCUUAGGAUGUGAACGGAGAGUGUCAGAAAAGCAAAACCCCAGCUUGAAUCAACAUGUCCAUUGGAGUAAAAGAGAACAAAAAGGUUUGUUUGUUUGUUUGUUUGUUUUUUACAAAUAUAUUAACAGUAAGAAGAGGGCUAAGGAGAAUCUCCAUCUUUUACCAGAUGAGAUGGUGUAAGAGAUUAUUCUUUUAUAUCAUUGACUCAAAGUUUGCUGGGGAACAAGUCCAGGCAAGUCCUGGGCAAAGGCAGAGAAAUCUUUUGUCUUGAGGACACUGAUGGACAGGUCCUGGCUAAGGAUUGUGAAAUCCUCUAAGGAGCACAGAUGGACAAGGCCAGGCGCAACGAGAGAGAGAUAAGCUGCUGCUAAUGGCCAGGAAACGGUCUUUUUGUGUGGACUUAUCUCGAGGAAGAUGGCCAUCUCAGGAGGUAUGCACAGGACUCUUGCUCAAGCACCCAGGAAUGUCAUGUAGGCAGGAGAAAAUGGAGGAUAAAAGAGGGUCCAACAACCACGGCGAUGGUAGAGGCUUAUCUCUCACCACGACAGACUUGAGGGGUUCUCCGCCAUCUGAUCCUUCACCACAACAGGGAGGCUGAUCUCUCACCGCAACACGGAGGCUGAUCUCUCACCGCAACACAGAGGCUGAUCUCUCAUGAUCUCUCACCACGACACAAGCUUCCUGCCUUCAGAUCCCUCUCUACGGACCAUUUGCUGACGGACUUCCCUGGACCUGCUACCUGAGACCUGCUGCUUCCUCCCUGACCUGCACCCUCUCGUUGCCCAAGACCGGCCUCGCUGCUCCUGCCCUUCGGCCUCGGACCGUCGGAACAUCGUGCAACGGGACUACUGCCGGAUCCUGGUGUCUCUUCCUGCAGAAGCUGACAGCCCAUGGCAUGGACUGCUACACUCUUUGCUGAUGUCAACGGUUUAAGGGCUGGUCCGGCCCGGUUCCGCAACUAGUGGGGCGGAGGAAUUUCACAAAAUCCGC
Gallus gallus (chicken) is the source of this 1435-nucleotide long non-coding RNA. The record is from Ensembl. NCBI's taxonomy places the organism in Eukaryota, Metazoa, Chordata, Aves, Galliformes, Phasianidae.